AUUGAACGCUAGCGGGGUGCCUUACACAUGCAAGUCGAACGGAGUGGCGAACGGGCGAGUGAUGUAUCCGAACGUGCCCAGUAGCGGGGGAUAACUACGCGAAAGCGUAGCUAAUACCGCAUAAGACUGGCUCGGCCGAUAUCGGGUUAGCUAGCUGGUGGGGUAACGGCUAAACAAGGCGACGAUCCGUAGCUGGUUUGAGAGGACGACCAGCCACACUGGGACUGAGACACGGCCCAGACGCCUACGGGAGGCAGCAGUGGGGAAUUGUGGACAAUGGGGGAAACCCUGAUCCAGCCAUCCCGCGUGUGCGAUGAAGGCCUUCGGGUUGUAAAGCACUGUUGGCAGGAAAGCGGUACCUGCAGAGUAAGCACCGGCGAACUACGUGCCAGCAGCCGCGGUAAUAC
RNAcentral lists this ribosomal RNA (407 nucleotides) under uncultured bacterium. RNAcentral describes it as "partial 16S ribosomal RNA". It matches the Rfam family "Bacterial small subunit ribosomal RNA", at positions 29 to 526 of the family's 1533-position model. The record is from RNAcentral.